RNAcentral lists this ribosomal RNA (468 nucleotides) under uncultured bacterium. RNAcentral's name for it is "partial 16S ribosomal RNA". It matches the Rfam family "Bacterial small subunit ribosomal RNA", at positions 28 to 507 of the family's 1533-position model. The record is from RNAcentral.
GACGAACGCUGGCGGCGUGCUUAACACAUGCAAGUCGAACGGAAAGGCCCUGCUUUUGUGGGGUGCUCGAGUGGCGAACGGGUGAGUAACACGUGAGUAACCUGCCCUUGACUUUGGGAUAACUUCAGGAAACUGGGGCUAAUACCGGAUAGGAGCUCCUGCUGCAUGGUGGGGGUUGGAAAGUUUCGGCGGUUGGGGAUGGACUCGCGGCUUACCAGCUUGUUGGUGGGGUAGUGGCUUACCAAGGCUUUGACGGGUAGCCGGCCUGAGAGGGUGACCGGCCACAUUGGGACUGAGAUACGGCCCAGCCUCCUACGGGAGGCAGCAGUGGGGAAUAUUGCACAAUGGGUGGAAGCCUGAUGCAGCAACGCCGCGUGCGGGAUGACGGCCUUCGGGUUGUAAACCGCUUUCGCCUGUGACGAAGCGUGAGUGACGGUAAUGGGUAAAGAAGCACCGGCUAACUACGUG